AAGCCUAUACUUUCAGGGGUCAUUUCUAUGGUUUGUUACUAGAGAAGUUUCUCUGAAUGUGUAGAGCCCCCGAAAUCAUGAAGAGGAGGCGCAGUAUUCUCUCCUGAGUGUGAAGCUGGCUUUUGGUGUUCCUUUGGCAACUACCAUGAGCCAUUGAUGAUCCUUCUUCUCUUCCUUUGGGAGAAUAAGAGGGAGAGGACGCAGUGGU
Molecule: non-coding RNA, 208 nt
Organism: Myotis lucifugus (little brown bat)
Lineage: Eukaryota; Metazoa; Chordata; Mammalia; Chiroptera; Vespertilionidae
Source: Rfam